CUUGUACUCCCUCCGUCCGGAAUUACUUGUCAUCAAAAUGAAUAAAAAUGGAUGUAUUUGGAACUAAAAUACAUCUAGAUACAUCCAUUUCAAUGACAAGUAUUUCCGGACGGAGGGAGUAUUUC
Molecule: non-coding RNA, 125 nt
Organism: Triticum aestivum (bread wheat)
Lineage: Eukaryota; Viridiplantae; Streptophyta; Magnoliopsida; Poales; Poaceae
Source: Rfam